AGUGAACGCUGGCGGUAGGCCUAACACAUGCAAGUCGAACGGCAGCACAGUAAGAGCUUGCUCUUACGGGUGGCGAGUGGCGGACGGGUGAGGAAUACAUCGGAAUCUACUUUUUCGUGGGGGAUAACGUAGGGAAACUUACGCUAAUACCGCAUACGACCUAUGGGUGAAAGCAGGGGAUCUUCGGACCUUGCGCGAUUGAAUGAGCCGAUGUCGGAUUAGCUAGUUGGCGGGGUAAAGGCCCACCAAGGCGACGAUCCGUAGCUGGUCUGAGAGGAUGAUCAGCCACACUGGAACUGAGACACGGUCCAGACUCCUACGGGAGGCAGCAGUGGGGAAUAUUGGACAAUGGGCGCAAGCCUGAUCCAGCCAUACCGCGUGGGUGAAGAAGGCCUUCGGGUUGUAAAGCCCUUUUGUUGGGAAAGAAAAGCAGCAGGUUAAUACCCCGCUGUUCUGACGGUACCCAAAGAAUAAGCACCGGCUAACUUCGU
RNAcentral lists this ribosomal RNA (491 nucleotides) under uncultured bacterium. RNAcentral's name for it is "partial 16S ribosomal RNA". It matches the Rfam family "Bacterial small subunit ribosomal RNA", at positions 29 to 506 of the family's 1533-position model. The record is from RNAcentral.